This 642-nucleotide ribosomal RNA is filed under the name uncultured bacterium. Its description in RNAcentral is "bacterial SSU rRNA". It matches the Rfam family "Bacterial small subunit ribosomal RNA", at positions 202 to 842 of the family's 1533-position model. The record is from RNAcentral.
UAAAGGAGAGAUCCGGCAUAGGAUGGACAUGCGUCGCAUUAGGUAGACGGCGGGGUAACGGCCCACCGUGCCGACGAUGCGUAGGGGUUCUGAGAGGAAGGCCCCCCACACUGGUACUGAGACACGGACCAGACUCCUACGGGAGGCAGCAGUGAGGAAUAUUGGUCAAUGGCCGAGAGGCUGAACCAGCCAAGUCGCGUGAGGGAAGAAUGUCCUAAGGAUUGUAAACCUCUUUUGUCGGGGAGCAAAAAGGCUCUGCGGAGUCGUAUUGAGAGUACCCGAAGAAAAAGCAUCGGCUAACUCCGUGCCAGCAGCCGCGGUAAUACGGAGGAUGCGAGCGUUAUCCGGAUUUAUUGGGUUUAAAGGGCGCGCAGGCGGCGUGUCAAGCAAGCGGUAAAAUAGCGGGGCUCAACCCCGUCGAGCCGUUUGAACUGGCGCGCUUGAGUUCAGGCGAGGUAGGCGGAAUUCGUGGUGUAGCGGUGAAAUGCAUAGAUAUCACGAAGAACUCCGAUUGCGAAGGCAGCUUACCAGUCUGCGACUGACGCUCAGGCACGAAAGUGUGGGUAUCGAACAGGAUUAGAUACCCUGGUAGUCCACACAGUAAACGAUGAGCGCUAGGUGUCCGGGUCGCAUGAGACUUGG